CCUACGGGAGGCAGUAGUAAGGAAUCUUCCACAAUGGACGAAAGUCUGAUGGAGCAACGCCGCGUGCAGGAUGAAGGCUUUCGGGUCGUAAACUGCUUUUAUAUGGGAAGAUUAUGACGGUACCAUAUGAAUAAGGACCGGCUAACUACGUGCCAGCAGCCGCGGUAAUACGUAGGGUCCAAGCGAUAUCCGGAAUUACUGGGCGUAAAGCGUGUGUAGGUGGAUUAAUAAGUGUGAUGCGAAAUCCGGCGGCUCAACCGUUUGGACUGUGUCGCAUACUGUUAGUCUAGAGGACGGCAGAGGUAAGUGGAAUUACGGGUGUAGCAGUGAAAUGCGUAGAUAUCCGUAGGAACACCAAUGGCGAAGGCAGCUUACUGGGCCACACCUGACACUGAGACACGAAAGCGUGGGGAGCGAACAGGAUUAGAUACCCUGGUAGUCCACGCCGUAAACGAUGCAUACUAUUAGUAUGGGGUAUCGACCCCCUGUGCUGAGAAGCUAACGCGAUAAGUAUGCCGCCUGGGGAGUACGAGCGCAAGCUUAAAACUCAAAGAUAGUAGCGNGNGAGAGCGACGACGACGACGAGGAGGAGGAG
This 595-nucleotide ribosomal RNA is filed under the name uncultured bacterium. RNAcentral's name for it is "bacterial SSU rRNA". It matches the Rfam family "Bacterial small subunit ribosomal RNA", at positions 338 to 946 of the family's 1533-position model. The record is from RNAcentral.